Molecule: long non-coding RNA, 178 nt
Filed under: Pan troglodytes (chimpanzee)
Lineage: Eukaryota; Metazoa; Chordata; Mammalia; Primates; Hominidae
Description: lncRNA (ENSPTRG00000053393.1)
Source: RNAcentral
UAUGGUAAUAUUUCUUUACCUAAUUGGCCUUAUUAUUUCCCUUAGAAGCUUUCAAACUCAGAGAGGCAAGAGCUUCGGUUUUGUGAUAGAUGUCUCCAAUAGGAAAAUAAGAAGCAAAGACGUAAAGACAUAAGGUGUCCAUGGAUGAAUGUGGACCAUGUGGAAGGAAGCCGAAUUC